UACGUAGGGGCCAAGCGUUGUCCGGAUUUAUUGGGCGUAAAGAGCUCGUAGGCGGUUCGGCAAGUCAGCUGUGAAAUCUCCACGCUCAACGUGGAGGGGUCAGCUGAUACUGCUGUGACUCGAGUCCGGUGAGGGGAGUGUGGAAUUCCUGGUGUAGCGGUGAAAUGCGCAGAUAUCAGGAAGAACACCCGUGGCGAAGGCGGCUCUCUGGGACGGUACUGACGGCUGAGACGCGAAAGCGUGGGGAGCGAACAGG
This 256-nucleotide ribosomal RNA is filed under the name uncultured bacterium. RNAcentral's name for it is "partial 16S ribosomal RNA". It matches the Rfam family "Bacterial small subunit ribosomal RNA", at positions 524 to 776 of the family's 1533-position model. The record is from RNAcentral.